CGAACGCUGGCGGCGUGCUUAACACAUGCAAGUCGAACGAUGAACCACCUUCGGGUGGGGAUUAGUGGCGAACGGGUGAGUAACACGUGGGCAAUCUGCCCUUCACUCUGGGACAAGCCCUGGAAACGGGGUCUAAUACCGGAUACUGACCUGCCAAGGCAUCUUGGCGGGUCGAAAGCUCCGGCGGUGAAGGAUGAGCCCGCGGCCUAUCAGCUUGUUGGUGAGGUAAUGGCUCACCAAGGCGACGACGGGUAGCCGGCCUGAGAGGGCGACCGGCCACACUGGGACUGAGACACGGCCCAGACUCCUACGGGAGGCAGCAGUGGGGAAUAUUGCACAAUGGGCGAAAGCCUGAUGCAGCGACGCCGCGUGAGGGAUGACGGCCUUCGGGUUGUAAACCUCUUUCAGCAUGGAAGAAGCGAAAGUGACGGUACCUGCAGAAGAAGCGCCGGCUAACUACGUGCCAGCAGCCGCGGUAAUACGUAGGGCGCAAGCGUUGUCCGGAAUUAUUGGGCGUAAAGAGCUCGUAGGCGGCUUGUCACGUCGGUUGUGAAAGCCCGGGGCUUAACCCCGGGUCUGCAGUCGAUACGGGCAGGCUAGAGUUCGGUAGGGGAGAUCGGAAUUCCUGGUGUAGCGGUGAAAUGCUCAGAUAUCAGGAGGAACACCGGUGGCGAAGGCGGAUCUCUGGGCCGAUACUGACGCUGAGGAGCGAAAGCGUGGGGAGCGAACAGGAUUAGAUACCCUGGUAGUCCACGCCGUAAACGGUGGGCACUAGGUGUGGGCAACAUUCCACGUUGUCCGUGCCGCUAGCUAACGCAUUAAGUGCCCCGCCU
RNAcentral lists this ribosomal RNA (833 nucleotides) under Streptomyces coelicoflavus. Its description in RNAcentral is "bacterial SSU rRNA". It matches the Rfam family "Bacterial small subunit ribosomal RNA", at positions 30 to 874 of the family's 1533-position model. Lineage: Bacteria; Bacillati; Actinomycetota; Actinomycetes; Kitasatosporales; Streptomycetaceae. The record is from RNAcentral.